UACAGAGGGUGCAAGCGUUGUUCGGAAUUAUUGGGCGUAAAGCGCACGUAGGCGGUUUGUUGCGUCGGCUGUGAAAUCCCGAGGCUCAACCUCGGGUCUGCAGUCGAUACGAGCAAACUAGAGUGUUGCAGGGGAGACUGGAAUUCCUGGUGUAGCGGUGAAAUGCGCAGAUAUCAGGAGGAACACCGGUGGCGAAGGCGGGUCUCUGGGCAAGCAAC
RNAcentral lists this ribosomal RNA (218 nucleotides) under uncultured bacterium. RNAcentral describes it as "partial 16S ribosomal RNA". It matches the Rfam family "Bacterial small subunit ribosomal RNA", at positions 524 to 740 of the family's 1533-position model. The record is from RNAcentral.